Molecule: ribosomal RNA, 301 nt
Filed under: uncultured bacterium
Lineage: Bacteria
Description: partial 16S ribosomal RNA
Rfam family: Bacterial small subunit ribosomal RNA
Source: RNAcentral
CAGUAGCCACGGGAAAACGGAGGGAGCUAGCGUUGUUCGGAAUUACUGGGCGUAAAGCGCACGUAGGCAGCUUCGUAAGUCAGAGGUGAAAGCCUGGAGCUCAACUCCAGAACUGCCUUUGAGACUGCAUCGCUUGAAUCCAGGAGAGGUGAGUGGAAUUCCGAGUGUAGAGGUGAAAUUCGUAGAUAUUCGGAAGAACACCAGUGGCGAAGGCGGCUCACUGGACUGGUAUUGACGCUGAGGUGCGAAAGCGUGGGGAGCAAACAGGAUUAGAUACCCGCGUAGUCCCUGUCUCUUAUAC